UCGUAAACCAGGUUUCCGUAGGUGAACCUGCGG
This 33-nucleotide ribosomal RNA is filed under the name Oedogonium sp. L3. RNAcentral's name for it is "partial 18S ribosomal RNA". The record is from RNAcentral. Lineage: Eukaryota; Viridiplantae; Chlorophyta; Chlorophyceae; Oedogoniales; Oedogoniaceae.